RNAcentral lists this ribosomal RNA (466 nucleotides) under uncultured bacterium. RNAcentral's name for it is "partial 16S ribosomal RNA". It matches the Rfam family "Bacterial small subunit ribosomal RNA", at positions 28 to 507 of the family's 1533-position model. The record is from RNAcentral.
GAUGAACGCUGGCGGCGUGCUUAACACAUGCAAGUCGAACGAUGAAGCUCAGCUUGCUGGGUGGAUUAGUGGCGAACGGGUGAGUAACACGUGAGUAACCUGCCCUUAACUCUGGGAUAAGCCUGGGAAACUGGGUCUAAUACCGGAUAGGAGCGUCCACCGCAUGGUGGGUGUUGGAAAGAUUUAUCGGUUUUGGAUGGACUCGCGGCCUAUCAGCUUGUUGGUUAGGUAAUGGCUCACCAAGGCGACGACGGGUAGCCGGCCUGAGAGGGUGACCGGCCACACUGGGACUGAGACACGGCCCAGACUCCUACGGGAGGCAGCAGUGGGGAAUAUUGCACAAUGGGCGCAAGCCUGAUGCAGCGACGCCGCGUGAGGGAUGACGGCCUUCGGGUUGUAAACCUCUUUCAGUAGGGAAGAAGCGAAAGUGACGGUACCUGCAGAAGAAGCACCGGCUAACUACGUG